AGGGUUUUAAGUUAAAUAAACUAUAAGCCUUCAAAGCUUACUAUAAGGAAAAGAAAUCCUUAUUCCCUG
Molecule: transfer RNA, 69 nt
Filed under: Calyptraea chinensis
Lineage: Eukaryota; Metazoa; Mollusca; Gastropoda; Littorinimorpha; Calyptraeidae
Description: tRNA-Trp
Source: RNAcentral